RNAcentral lists this ribosomal RNA (460 nucleotides) under uncultured bacterium. RNAcentral's name for it is "partial 16S ribosomal RNA". It matches the Rfam family "Bacterial small subunit ribosomal RNA", at positions 338 to 795 of the family's 1533-position model. The record is from RNAcentral.
CCUACGGGUGGCAGCAGUGAGGAAUAUUGGUCAAUGGACGAAAGUCUGAACCAGCGAAGUAGCGUGAAGGAUGACUGACCUAGGGGUUGUAAACUUCUUUUAUAAAGGAAUAAAACAAGGCACGUGUGCCUGUUGGCAUGUCCUUUAUGAAUAAGGCACGGCUAACUACGUGCAAGCAGCCGCGGUAAUACGGAGGAUCCGAGCGUUAUCCGGAUUUAUUGGGUUUAACGGGAGCGUAGAUGGGUGGUUAAGUCAGUUGUGAAAGUUUGCGGCUCAACCGUAAAAUUGCAAUUGAUACUGGCAGGCUUGAGUACAGGUGAGGUAGGCGGAAUUCGUGGUGUAGCGGUGAAAUGCUUAGAUAUCACGAAGAACCCCGAUUGCGAAGGCAGCUUACUAAACUGUGACUGACAUUGAUGCUCGAAAGUGUGGGUAUCAAACAGGAUUAGAUACCCCAGUAGUC